RNAcentral lists this ribosomal RNA (303 nucleotides) under uncultured bacterium. RNAcentral describes it as "bacterial SSU rRNA". It matches the Rfam family "Bacterial small subunit ribosomal RNA", at positions 47 to 346 of the family's 1533-position model. The record is from RNAcentral.
CCUAACACAUGCAAGUCGAACGGUAACAGGAAACAGCUUGCUGUUUCGCUGACGAGUGGCGGACGGGUGAGUAAUGUCUGGGAAACUGCCUGAUGGAGGGGGAUAACUACUGGAAACGGUAGCUAAUACCGCAUAACGUCGCAAAACCAAAGAGGGGGACCUUCGGGCCUCUUGCCAUCGGAUGUGCCCAGAUGGGAUUAGCUAGUAGGUGGGGUAACGGCUCACCUAGGCGACGAUCCCUAGCUGGUCUGAGAGGAUGACCAGCCACACUGGAACUGAGACACGGUCCAGACUCCUACGGGA